GCAAGUCGAGCGGUAACAGGAAGUAGCUUGCUACUUCGCUGACGAGCGGCGGACGGGUGAGUAACGCGUGGGAACCUGCCCUGGAGUGGGGAAUAACCACUGGAAACGGUGGCUAAUACCGCAUGUGUCCUGAGGGACAAAGGCUUCGGCCGCUCUGGGAUGGGCCCGCGUCCGAUUAGCUAGUUGGUGAGGUAACGGCUUACCAAGGCGACGAUCGGUAGCUGGUCUGAGAGGAUGAUC
This 240-nucleotide ribosomal RNA is filed under the name uncultured bacterium. RNAcentral describes it as "partial 16S ribosomal RNA". It matches the Rfam family "Bacterial small subunit ribosomal RNA", at positions 57 to 305 of the family's 1533-position model. The record is from RNAcentral.